GCGUGCUUAACACAUGCAAGUCAAGGGGGCCCAGCAAUGGGCAACCGGCGAACGGGUGCGUAACACGUGAGCAACCUACCGAACUGUGGGGGAUAGCCGGCCUAACGGCCGAGUAAUACCGCAUACGCUCUCAGUGAGGCAUUUCAUUGAGAGGAAACCUACGGGACAGAUCGAGGGGCUCGCGGCCUAUCAGCUAGUUGGCGAGGUAACGGCUCACCAAGGCAACGACGGGUAGCUGGUCUGAGAGGAUGGCCAGCCACAUUGGGACUGAGAUACGGCCCAGACUCCUACGGGAGGCAGCAGUGGGGAAUCUUGCGCAAUGGCCUAACGGCUGACGCAGCGACGCCGCGUGUGGGAUGAAGCUCUUCGGAGUGUAAACCACUGUUGCCCGGGACGAACAGCUCGAUUAGUCGAGCCUGACGGUACCGGGUGAGGAAGCACCGGCUAACUCCGUGCCAGCAGCCGCGGUAAUACGGGGGGUGCGAGCGUUGUCCGGAAUCACUGGGCGUAAAGGGCGCGUAGGUGGUUUGAUAAGGGUGUGGUGAAAGUCCGGGGCUCAACCCCGGAUCUGCCGUGCCGACUGUCAAACUCGAGGGCUGUAGAGGCAGACGGAAUUCCGGGUGUAGCGGUGGAAUGCGUAGAGAUCCGGAGGAAGACCGGUGGCGAAGGCGGUCUGCUGGGCAGUUUCUGACACUGAGGCGCGACAGCGUG
This 711-nucleotide ribosomal RNA is filed under the name uncultured soil bacterium. RNAcentral describes it as "bacterial SSU rRNA". It matches the Rfam family "Bacterial small subunit ribosomal RNA", at positions 42 to 763 of the family's 1533-position model. The record is from RNAcentral.